UGGGCUUUUCGAACAUGCACCUACGUUUUUUGAGCCGUGGCUUCUUUUAUAAUAAAUAAAUCCAUAAGUAGUUCAUGAAAUAUAAAAGAAGAAAAAAGAUUGUACACCACUUCACUAGACCUAUAUCUGUUUAAAUCUACUUCGAAGUCUUGAUCAAUUGGAUCAUCAAUGCUAGUCCUAUCUUUUUGAAAAAACCACACCAGUAAUGCCAAUCGCUUGUACUUAGUUGGACGG
Molecule: long non-coding RNA, 234 nt
Filed under: Elaeis guineensis (African oil palm)
Lineage: Eukaryota; Viridiplantae; Streptophyta; Magnoliopsida; Arecales; Arecaceae
Description: long non-coding RNA (EGUI_LNC006506)
Source: RNAcentral